Molecule: non-coding RNA, 23 nt
Filed under: Cricetulus griseus (Chinese hamster)
Lineage: Eukaryota; Metazoa; Chordata; Mammalia; Rodentia; Cricetidae
Source: RNAcentral
UUCAGUAUUCAAAUAGGACAUGA